AUGGCCAUAUCAUGUUGAAACACCAGAUCUUGUCUGAUCCCUGAAGUUAAGCAACAUUGAGCCUGGUCAGUACCUAAAUAGGUGACAACUUAGUAAUGCCAUGUGAUGUAA
This is a non-coding RNA of Acanthosepion pharaonis, 111 nucleotides long. The record is from the annotation of a GenBank genome assembly. Lineage: Eukaryota; Metazoa; Mollusca; Cephalopoda; Sepiida; Sepiidae.